AGUGAACGCUGGCGGUAGGCCUAACACAUGCAAGUCGAACGGCAGCACAGUAAGAGCUUGCUCUUACGGGUGGCGAGUGGCGGACGGGUGAGGAAUACAUCGGAAUCUACUUUUUCGUGGGGGAUAACGUAGGGAAACUUACGCUAAUACCGCAUACGACCUACGGGUGAAAUCAGGGGAUCUUCGGACCUUGCGCGUUUGAAUGAGCCGAUGUCGGAUUAGCUAGUUGGCGGGGUAAAGGCCCACCAAGGCGACGAUCCGUAGCUGACCUGAGAGGAUGAUCAGCCACACUGGAACUGAGACACGGUCCAGACUCCUACGGGAGGCAGCAGUGGGGAAUAUUGGACAAUGGGCGCAAGCCUGACCCAGCCAUGCCGCGUGGGUGAUGAAGGCCUUCGGGUUGUAAAGCCCUGUUGUUGGGAAAGAAAAGCAGCAGGUGAAUACCCCGCUGUUCUGACGGUACCCAAAGAAUAAGCACCGGCUAACUUCGUG
This 492-nucleotide ribosomal RNA is filed under the name uncultured bacterium. RNAcentral describes it as "partial 16S ribosomal RNA". It matches the Rfam family "Bacterial small subunit ribosomal RNA", at positions 29 to 507 of the family's 1533-position model. The record is from RNAcentral.